This is a long non-coding RNA of Lagopus leucura (white-tailed ptarmigan), 198 nucleotides long. RefSeq lists it as uncharacterized. The transcript has 3 exons. The record is from RefSeq and is a predicted model, not a curated record. NCBI's taxonomy places the organism in Eukaryota, Metazoa, Chordata, Aves, Galliformes, Phasianidae.
CACCAACCUCUUCUUUGGUACUGAACAAAAAGGAAGAAUCGCAGGAUGAGAAUUUUGUCGCUGGGAAAACUUUCUCUGGAGUCAAUUGACGAUUGACUAGCACCAUGAAACGGACUUUUUUGACAGGAAAGUUGGAAGAGCUGCACCUCUGUCUUGAAGAGAAAAAACAAGCUUUGGAAAUGAUGCUUUGUGCCUGUG